CCUACGGGGUGCAGCAGUGAGGAAUAUUGGUCAAUGGGCGGAAGCCUGAACCAGCCAAGUAGCGUGCAGGAUGACGGCCCUACGGGUUGUAAACUGCUUUUAUACGGGAAUAACGCGCCUUACGUGUAGGGCUUUGCAUGUACCGUAUGAAUAAGGACCGGCUAAUUCCGUGCCAGCCGCAGCGGUAAUACGGAAGGUCCGGGCGUUAUCCGGAUUUAUGGGGUUUAAAGGGAGCGUAGGCCGCAUGUCAAGCGUGCUGUGAAAUGUCCGGGCUCAACCCGGGCCUGGCAGCGCGAACUGGCGUGCUAGAGUCCGCGGAAAGCAGGCGGAAUUCGUCGUGUAGCGGUGAAAUGCUUAGAUAUGACGAAGAACCCCGAUUGCGAAGGCAGCUUGCUGCAGCGGAACUGACGCUGAUGCUCGAAAGCGCGGGUAUCGAACAGGAUUAGAUACCCCUGUAGUC
RNAcentral lists this ribosomal RNA (460 nucleotides) under uncultured bacterium. RNAcentral's name for it is "partial 16S ribosomal RNA". It matches the Rfam family "Bacterial small subunit ribosomal RNA", at positions 338 to 795 of the family's 1533-position model. The record is from RNAcentral.